This 390-nucleotide ribosomal RNA is filed under the name Eukaryota sp. Its description in RNAcentral is "SSU rRNA". It matches the Rfam family "Eukaryotic small subunit ribosomal RNA", at positions 829 to 1218 of the family's 1831-position model. The record is from RNAcentral.
CUCGGCUCCUGUUUCGUUGGUUUGAGUGGCUGAGUAAUGAUUAAUAGAGACAGUUGGGGGCGUUCAUAUUUAAUUGUCAGAGGUGAAAUUCUUGGAUUUAUGAAAGAUGAACCUAUGCGAAAGCAUUCGCCAAGGAUGUUUUCAUUGAUCAAGAACGAAAGUUAAGGGAUCGAAGACGAUCAGAUACCGUCGUAGUCUUAACUAUAAACGAUGCCGACCAAGGAUUGGGAGACGUUACAUGGAUGACUCCCCCAGCACUUUGUGAGAAAUCAUAAGUCUUUGGGUUCCGGGGGGAGUAUGGUCGCAAGGCUGAAACUUAAAGGAAUUGACGGAAGGGCACACCAGGAGUGGAGCCUGCGGCUUAAUUUGACUCAACACGGGGAAACUCAC